Molecule: non-coding RNA, 145 nt
Organism: Gossypium raimondii (Peruvian cotton)
Lineage: Eukaryota; Viridiplantae; Streptophyta; Magnoliopsida; Malvales; Malvaceae
Source: Rfam
UGUUAAAACUUUUAUCCAUUUCUACUGUUAAAAACUAGUGUGGUUGACAGUAUAACCAAGCAGUUACACUUGGCGUGCCAUGUGUACCUCAUAUUGACAUACAGGGACUAGUUUUUAACAGUAGAAAUGAAUGAGAUUUAUAAUA